RNAcentral lists this microRNA precursor (70 nucleotides) under Dasypus novemcinctus (nine-banded armadillo). RNAcentral's name for it is "miRNA (ENSDNOG00000031403.1)". Lineage: Eukaryota; Metazoa; Chordata; Mammalia; Cingulata; Dasypodidae. The record is from RNAcentral.
GGUCUGGGUCCUGGUUCUGGUCCGGGGUCCGGGUCUGGUCCUGGCCCGGGUCCUGGUUCUGGUCCGGGCC